UAAUCUAAUUAAAUCACACAUACAUCGACACUGACCUCGGGGUGUCUAAUUUAACAGUGUUGACACUGUUAAUGCAGAUCGAGCAAAGGGAUGUAUGGAGGCCUAAC
This 107-nucleotide small RNA is filed under the name uncultured Glaciecola sp. RNAcentral describes it as "t44 RNA". It matches the Rfam family "t44 RNA". Rfam says of the family: This family consists of a number of bacterial RNA genes of between 135 and 170 bases in length. The t44 gene is found between the map and rpsB genes in all species in the full alignment apart from Shigella flexneri. Lineage: Bacteria; Pseudomonadati; Pseudomonadota; Gammaproteobacteria; Alteromonadales; Alteromonadaceae. The record is from RNAcentral.